Molecule: long non-coding RNA, 2571 nt
Organism: Alligator mississippiensis (American alligator)
Lineage: Eukaryota; Metazoa; Chordata; Crocodylia; Alligatoridae
Exons: 3
Source: RefSeq, a predicted model, not a curated record
GCAGCCAAGGAAGAAGGAUCUCUCGGUCAUGGAAGAGAGGAGAAGCCUAAGGCAGGAGCAACGUCUGACACUGCUGCCGGAUGAAGAACCCCGAAUACACAAGGCAAUCCAAGACCACCACAGCAUAUGCAAGAACUUGAGGAACAUAUUGUGGAGCUUAAGGCUACUUUGAGGGAUGCUGAUAAUGACCACAGCCUUUAUGAGAGUCUCAAGCUCCGGGAAAUGUGCUUGAGAGAACUGGUAGAGGGUUUGAUCCAGGGUGCAAGAACUUGAACCUGCUUCCAAGAACUCACAGACACUGAUGCCAUGACUCGGGUCUUUUUCAACCUAAAGAAAAAGUGCACAGAAAAAGAAAUCAUCGGUCACUGUACAACCCAGUGGGGCCAGGUGCUCACAGAUCCUAUCAAGAUCUGAGAGCGUGCUGUUAGCUUCGACAAGGAGCUGUUUAGAGGUGAGGCUACCUGCCCAGUGGCCAUACAACAAUUGCAUGAGGGCCUCCCCAAACUCUCCAUGUCUGAGGCUGAGCAGCUCAAAGCUGUCCCUGGGCAAAACUGACUGCUGCUAUUUGAAGACCUUGCCAUGGGGAAGGUACCAGGCCUUGACUGAUUACCCAUCAAAUUCUCCAAGAUGUUUUGGCCUCUCCUCAGCCCAGACCCACUGCCCAUCUUCCAGGACAGCUUCAAACAUAGGAUCCUUCUGACCAGUUGCUGCUGAGCAGCCAUCACACUGCUGCCCAACAAAGGGAAUCUGGUAACAUUAAGAACUGGCAACUGCUAUCGCUCCUGUGUACAGGACCAAUGCCCUGGCCAACCACAUCAAAAUGGUCAUGGCCUCUGUCAUAGGCCCCUACUCCAUACCUGCCAGGACAACCUGUUUCUGCUAUGUGACCUGCCGCCAGCUGUGAAGUUCUUUGGCUUGAACAACAACUUUGCCUUCCCAAAUCAAGAACAGUUCUUUGAUAAGCCAGCACUGCAAAUUGUAAAUUAUGUUCAGACUGAAGGAAGUGCACAACUGUUGCAGCAGGUGCACUUUGGCGAGUGCAGCCAGAAUAGCGAGGUCCCCGGGGGCAGUCCUGCCAGCAGUCAGAGGUCAGGCAUAUUUGUGGCAGGGACCUACACACCUGAAUACUUACCUGCAGGAUUGGCGGUGGUGCAGGCAGCAGAACCACAAGCACUGCAGCCACCCUGAUUCAUCACUUUGUGCUGGGUACGGAUUCAAGCACGCCCCAUGCCAACAGAAAUGGUGAGCUGGAGGCUAGGAGGAGUCUGCAGCCGGAGAUGCCCUAACCUCACAGGAAAGCAAGAGUGGCUCAAUGAGGCGAAGCCCCAGAGAGCAUUGCUUCAUUCAGAGGAGCACUGAAGCAGCGACUCGGAUUUUUCCCAGGGUUCCCAGGAGAAGGACUGUAGCCUGGUUACUCUGUAAGAACUGGUUGGCAUGUGGAAGGGGUAUAAAGGGGAGGAGGAGCCCCAAGGACCGGAAACUUGACCUACUUGUAGGGGCAACCACAAAAGACCAAGGACCCUCCUUCUUUCUUAAAAGAUAACAUGUGGAGGGUUUGUUGGAGGGUGUGCCCUGUGAGUGGGAGUUAUUGAGUGCCAAACUGUCUGGCCCUAAGAGUUGGCACCCAAGAGGCUGGAGUGCAUGGUCAAGGCAACAAAAUGGAUUUGGGCACCACCUCUCACAACCACAUUUUGCUGAAACAAAAGAGACUCCUGCUGCUCCAGGCACUGGGACAAGAAAACAGAGAAGGGAGCAUGUAUGCAUUUGUGCCAACACUUCCCAAAGACAUUUCACAACUGAAUGACCUGAUACAAAAUGGGACAAAAGUAUCAACAAUCAACAGUGAUCUGACUGAAGCACGUUCCACCCCUACCCCUCAGCAUUCUGGAAGGGGUGGCACCAAUAGCACAGGAGUUCUAGUCUGGCCUAGAUGGUGAUUAGCAAAUAACCAUCAACUGCAUCUGACUGGAGAAGCUGGUGGAAAUGUGUAGGGGCUACUUGUGUUGAAGUAGUUCGUAUAAAAGACCACUAUAUUGCAACCUCCAAAAGAAGGCGAGUCAGAAAGAGGGAGUAGUUAGUUCAACGGAAGUCGAGCAAAACUCUAUGAUAGUCAUAAAACAGCUGAUGCAGGUGAUCACCACAGAAUAUAUGAAAGCAUCAAAUGAGCAGUUGGUCCAGUCAGGAAGAAAAAAGCUCCACGAAGGAAUUAAGAGGAAAUGUCAUCACCGAUAAAAACAACUCGAGCAUUGGAUUAAACAUUAUGGAAUGUGCACUUUCUCCAGUUCCACUCUGCACUCCUCUACAUAGGUACACCAGGUUCCACGUGCACACUGCUCUCUCUUCCCCUUAUUCCGGCUGCAAACUUCCUCUUCCACCAUGCUCCUUUGCCUCCCUGCCACACUGGGCCCGUGCCCUUGCAGUUCUGGGCCUUCUGUUUAAAUUUUGACCAACCAGCCGGAACUGCCCUACAAAAUACGGGACCAUCCCAGCCAAAGCAGGACAUAUUGCACCCUAUUCAUGCUUAGGCCAUGAGAGGGCCAAAUACCUUUGCACAUUUACCACUUGUUUUUA